Molecule: long non-coding RNA, 1145 nt
Filed under: Junco hyemalis (dark-eyed junco)
Lineage: Eukaryota; Metazoa; Chordata; Aves; Passeriformes; Passerellidae
Description: lncRNA (ENSJHYG00000009055.1)
Source: RNAcentral
CACCGGCACAGCCCCACCGAAGGACAUAUACAUCCAAUAAAAAUCACUUUUAGGAGGAGGAAGGCGGGUUGCCAAGUUCCCGCAUAUCCCGGGGUUUGUUUAUCCCGGGGUUUGUUUAUCCCGAUCACCGCCGCCCUGCGGGGCCCAGGAUCCCCUCGCCCAGGCCCAAGGCGGCAGCGGGGCCGGCGUGAAGCCCCUCGGGGGGGCAGACACCGAGCCCCGACCCUCGGUUCCAGCUAUAACCGGGGGGACGCGGCCGCCCCCGCUGUCCCCGACCCCGCCGGGCCCUCACCCCGCGGCUCUCACCGGCUGCCCCGGGCGGCGGGGCCGGCCCGGCCGCUCCGCUGCGCUGCUGCCGCCGCCGCAGCCCCUCACGGCCCCGGCGCUGCUCGGACCCUCCCUCAGCCCCUCCGGCCCUCCCUCGGCUCCGGCGGAAGGGCGGGCGGCACCUCCGGGGCGGGACCGAGCCCGGAAGGAAGCGGGGCCGGGCUGGGCGGAGCGGCGGCCGCGGGUGCCGUGAGGGUGAGCGGGGCUGGCACACGGCUGGACCGGGCCGGUGCUGGGCUGGCACACGGCUGGGUUACUGCUGUGACCGCACCCACAGCCCCUCUCCUCUGUUUUUUGUUAUGGAGCCCUCCCAGCGUGGCGCGUUCCUGCCCCGCAGCCUCCCUUCCUUCUCCAGAGCCCGCGGCAACUCCGCAGGGCUCCAGGGCACGGCCCCGGCCCCACACGAGCACCCCUGAGCUGCCUUGGGGAAAUAUAAAAAUACAAAAUACCCGCUGCUAUUUUAAACUCCUUUUUGCGUGCUCAAUUUCACAUUGUUGUGUGCUUGUUCUUGUUUCCAUCUCUUUUUUUUUUUUUUUUUUCUCAGCACGGACAUCCCACUGUGAAACAGGGAGCGCUUCAGCCGGACAGAUGGACAGAAGGAAAUUACUUCAAAAAAAGGGGAAAUUCUUCUGAGCAGAGGCAGAAAGGUUCUUUUUGAGCACUGCAGAAGCCGGGGCAGUGCUGUGUCACAGGGAUGGGUGGGUGGGAGGGAAGGAUGGGAUCAGUCAUUGCAAUGAUCCAUCCCAGCCCCUCAGCACACACUGCACCAGUGCCUCUGCUCAGGAAAUUAUAAUAAACACCUAAACGCCAUUAAAACA